RNAcentral lists this ribosomal RNA (864 nucleotides) under Triticum aestivum (bread wheat). RNAcentral's name for it is "partial small subunit ribosomal RNA". The record is from RNAcentral. Lineage: Eukaryota; Viridiplantae; Streptophyta; Magnoliopsida; Poales; Poaceae.
AUGGCGACGGCGGUCACGGCGUCCGCCACCGCGGCGACCCGCUUCACGCGCCUGGCGGGCAUCGGCCUCCGGCGCAGCAGCUGCCGCCCCCGCACCGCCGUCCGCUUCCAGCGCCCGGGGCUCACCACCACCGCGCUCCUCAGGCCCACCGAGCUCAAGCCCAAGGACCAGGGCCAGCCCGAGACGCUCGACUACCGCGUCUUCCUCGUCGACGGCGGCGGCCGCAAGGUGUCCCCGUGGCACGACGUGCCGCUCCGCGCCGGGGACGGGGCGUUCCACUUCAUCGUGGAGAUCCCCAAGGAGAGCAGCGCCAAGAUGGAGGUCGCCACCGACGAGGCCUACACCCCCAUCAAGCAGGACACCAAGAAGGGCAACCUUCGUUACUACCCGUACAACAUCAACUGGAACUACGGGUUACUUCCCCAGACAUGGGAGGACCCGACAGCUGCAAAUGCUGAUGUUGAAGGAGCACUUGGAGACAAUGAUCCUGUUGAUGUUGUCGAGAUUGGUGAAAGACGGGCCAAUAUUGGGGAUGUUCUUAGGGUGAAACCAUUGGCAGCUUUAGCAAUGAUUGACGAGGGAGAGCUUGACUGGAAAAUUGUGGCCAUCUCUCUGGAUGAUCCCAAAGCAUCUCUUGUGAAUGAUGUAGAUGAUGUCGAGGAGCAUUUUCCGGGAACAUUGACUGCCAUCAGAGACUGGUUCAGAGACUACAAGAUACCAGACGGAAAGCCCGCCAACAGGUUUGGUCUCGGCAACAAGCCCACAAGCAAGGAAUAUGCCCUGAAGGUGAUAGAAGAAACCAACGAGUCAUGGGAGAAAUUGGUGAAGAGGAAAAUCCCGGCGGGAGAGCUAUCGCUAGCGUAG